Long non-coding RNA from Tarenaya hassleriana, 442 nucleotides. RefSeq lists it as uncharacterized. The record is from RefSeq and is a predicted model, not a curated record. The transcript has 2 exons. Lineage: Eukaryota; Viridiplantae; Streptophyta; Magnoliopsida; Brassicales; Cleomaceae.
UUUGGCUCUGCCUUUGACAAGGGGAUAAGAAUAUGAGAAAUCCUCUUUUUCUUUUUUAAAUAAUUUUAAGCCCAUAGGCCGGACGAGAACGGUAUCAGGACAGCAUCGCGGACCUGAGAAAACCCACCGCCCUACGCAGUAGCCGGCAAACCACGCAGAGCAGGUAAACCAGCUUCGUAAAGCUGACCGGCUCAAGGGGAGUACCAUACCUGGGAUACAUUUUUACGUUUAAUAACGAAGAAAGAUACAUUUUUGUUUGUUUAGUAAUCGACUUGAUCAAUUAUGGUUUACACUAUCUGCAAAUAUCGUAAGAUUAAUUGCCAUUGCCAAUUACAUUUUGGAAAAUAAUUUUGUUACAUUAUAUUAAGAGUAUCGUGAAUAACGAUAUCCUAAAGAUUGUAUCGUUGAGGGAAGCAUCGAAUUAAAUUGCAUAUUUUUUUUG